RNAcentral lists this ribosomal RNA (936 nucleotides) under Aureobasidium pullulans. Its description in RNAcentral is "LSU rRNA". It matches the Rfam family "Eukaryotic large subunit ribosomal RNA", at positions 1 to 956 of the family's 3401-position model. Lineage: Eukaryota; Fungi; Ascomycota; Dothideomycetes; Dothideales; Saccotheciaceae. The record is from RNAcentral.
UUGACCUCGGAUCAGGUAGGGAUACCCGCUGAACUUAAGCAUAUCAAUAAGCGGAGGAAAAGAAACCAACAGGGAUUGCCCUAGUAACGGCGAGUGAAGCGGCAACAGCUCAAAUUUGAAAGCUAGCCUUCGGGUUCGCAUUGUAAUUUGUAGAGGAUACUUUGGGUAAAACGCCAGUCUAAGUUCCUUGGAACAGGACGUCAUAGAGGGUGAGAAUCCCGUAUGUGACUGGAAACGUUGACCUAUGUAAAGUUCCUUCGACGAGUCGAGUUGUUUGGGAAUGCAGCUCUAAAUGGGAGGUAAAUUUCUUCUAAAGCUAAAUAUUGGCGAGAGACCGAUAGCGCACAAGUAGAGUGAUCGAAAGAUGAAAAGCACUUUGGAAAGAGAGUUAAAAAGCACGUGAAAUUGUUGAAAGGGAAGCGCUUGCAAUCAGACUUGUUUAAACUGUUCGGCCGGUCUUCUGACCGGUUUACUCAGUUUGGACAGGCCAGCAUCAGUUUCGGCGGCCGGAUAAAGGCUCUGGGAAUGUGGCCUCCACUUCGGUGGAGGUGUUAUAGCCCAGUGUGUAAUACGGCCAGCCGGGACUGAGGUCCGCGCUUCGGCUAGGAUGCUGGCGUAAUGGUUGUAAGCGACCCGUCUUGAAACACGGACCAAGGAGUCUAACAUCUAUGCGAGUGUUCGGGUGUCAAACCCCUGCGCGUAAUGAAAGUGAACGGAGGUGAGAACCGCAAGGUGCAUCAUCGACCGAUCCUGAUGUCUUCGGAUGGAUUUGAGUAAGAGCAUAGCUGUUGGGACCCGAAAGAUGGUGAACUAUGCCUGAAUAGGGUGAAGCCAGAGGAAACUCUGGUGGAGGCUCGCAGCGGUUCUGACGUGCAAAUCGAUCGUCAAAUUUGGGUAUAGGGGCGAAAGACUAAUCGAACCAUCUAGUAGCUGGUU